RNAcentral lists this long non-coding RNA (2901 nucleotides) under Homo sapiens (human). Its description in RNAcentral is "HSALNT0264791". The record is from RNAcentral. Lineage: Eukaryota; Metazoa; Chordata; Mammalia; Primates; Hominidae.
CUUCUAUUACAUCUAGAAAUCUGGAGAUUUCUUUGCACAAAAAGCUUUUUGUUUCAUACCAUUUUCUCUCACUCUUAGCUCCUCAGGGGUGCUCACGAAGAGAUUAAUGACAUAAAAAAGCAUACUUAGUAUUUAAAGAAGCAAAAACCCACAAGAAGCAAGAAAGAUGUCUUUAAGUAGUUUCAAGAUUGCUUGUGGAGGAGGAAUCUGGCUUGCUCUGAAUGGGCCCACACCUCUGAGCUAAGAACAAGAGGUGGAUGCCAGAGGGAGACAGAAUUUCAGCUUUUAGAGAAGAUAAAAAAUUAUCCAGGCUUCCCAAGGAUAGUGAAUCUCUGUUACUGGAGGUGUUCAGGUGAACUGGGAAGGACCACCUACCAGAGACACCUCUGCAGGUAUCUAAGCAUAGAUGUAGGGCAGGAAGAAAUGGCAUCUCAGAGACCUGGCAUUCAGCUUGUUGGGCUGAUCUAGUUUUACAUUGCUGUGAACAAAUCAUCUUAAAAAUCAGUGAUUCAAAAUUAUAAUAAUCAUUUUAUAUUAUCUUUCAUUGUUCUGGGAGUUUUGGUUUUUUUCUUCUUCUUCUUUUUUUUUUUUUGAUACAGGGCCUCCCUCUGUCACCCAGGCUAGAGCGCAGUAGCGUAAUCAUGGCUCACUGCAGCCUUGACCUCCUGGGAUCAAAGGAAACUCCAACCUUAGCUUCCUGAGUAGCUGGGACCACAGGCACACACCAUCACACCUGGCUAAUUUUCUUAAUUUUUUGUAGAGACGGAGUCUCAUCAUGUUGCCCAGGCUGGUCUCAAACACCUGGGCUCAAGCAUUCUCCCCAUCGGCCUCCUACAGUGCUGGGAUUACAGGCAUAAGCCACCACACCUGACCAUAGUUCUGAAGGUUGACUGGGCUCAGCUAGGUGGUUGGUGCUCAGGAUCUCUCAUGUCAGACAGUGGCUGGGGUUAGGAUCAUCUUGACUUCCUCACUCCUAUGUUUGGUAUCUGAGCCAUCAAUAUUUAAACAGAUUGGAGCAGUUGAAUUUCAUGGGCAUCUUUACUUCUGUGUGGUCUUUCUAGUAUGGUGACUUUAUGGUAGCAGGCUUCUUACAGGGUUAGAAACAUACCUGUUCCUAGACACAGAGCUAGGCAGAAGUUGUAUUGUCUUUUAUGACCCAGUCUUGAAAGUCAUGUAGUAUCUCCUCUGCUGUCUUCUAUUAAUUGAGAUAGUCACAAAGACCUUCCUAGGUUGAAAGGGAGGGGACGUAGAUUCUAGUCUUGAUGAGGGAAGUAGAACAUUUCUGGAAGUUUGCGUGGGACCAGAGAUAUUCUUAUAGCCACUUUUAGAAAAUAUCAUCUGUUUCAUGGGCUUUCUAGAGGAAUGGCUUUUUCACACUUCUUCAUGGGUGGGGGUCACCAUGACUUUCCUCAAGGUGCCUCGAGCCUUUUGUUCCAUGGAUGCCUCUGAUAUACAGGCCAUAACAGAGUCUGCAGUUUUUAUGUGAAGAGAGACAUUAAUACAUCUUAUUUUCCCCACAGUCUUGCGAUCAACCCAGAACUGAAGGGAAGGGGAAUAAACUGGACAAGCCUGAUAGUUACAGUCACAAAUAGUGGAGGAAGCCAAGCACAGAGGUAGACUGCACAUCCCUCUCCACUGGGGAUCCCGUGAAGAAGAAAACGCCAUCAGAAUCCAUGGACUUCUUAAUCUUUAGAUCGAGAAAGUAUGGAUUCUACAUUUCUAUCCAUCUACAUCAGUGGGGAGCUGUGUUCAACUACUAGCAACAGAGACUCAUUUGCAGUGGCUGAAACUCACAAAGGAUUAUUAUGUAAAAGACACCUGAAGAUCAGCAGUUCAAGGCUGUUCCACAAAGUCUUCAUGGACUGAGAGAACUUCUACUUUUCCGUUUUAUUUUCUUGGUCUAUUUUUCUGCUUUCAUUCAAAAGGUGACUUCACAGUCCCAAAUGGCUGCUGAAGUUCCAGGCAGGAAGGAAGGAGAAUGGCUUUGCCCACUGUCUUUUUUUUUUUUCUUUUUUUUAGAAACAGGGUCUUGCUCUGUCACCGAGGCUGCAAUAAUAGCUCACUGCAGCCUUGAACUCCUGGGCUCAGGUGUUCCUCCUCAGCCUCCCAAGUAGCUAGGACUACAGGCGUAUGCCACCAUGUCCAGCUAAUUUUUGUAUUUCUUUUUCUGUUUUGUAGAGACGAGGUCUCCUUCUGUUGCCCAGGCUAGUCUCAAACUCCUGGCCUGAAGCAAUCCUCUUGCCUCAGCCUCCCAAAAUGUUGGGAUUACAGGUGUGAGCCACUGUGCCUAGCCCCCACUCUUUUAGGCCACUGGAGGAAAUUCCAGUCACUAGGGAGGGGGCUCUGGGGCGAACCACCCCGCUGUGCUGGAGCUGACCAUCCCCCAUGUGUGUGGCAGGGCAGAGCAUCCUUUACAGAAGAAUGAGAGACUGGAAGGCUGCUGCUAUAACCACAUUUUCUAGAUUUCUUCCUCAUCUUCUCUUGCAUGAGGCCCUUUUCUCUCUUUCUUCCCUUGUCAGCGGCCUUCUGGGCUGGCACCAUUUGCUUUCAGGGCUGACAGUUGGCUGGGAAAAGUGCCUGUAUUUCUCUUCUCUCAUUGGCAUCUGUCUUAACCCUCCUUAUCGCAGCUGCUGCUGUGAGCUCAUGCAUCCUCUGUGUGCUGUUUUCCACCCCCAAAUUGCCGAACCUGCCCUGUUUGCUGUUUCUGGUGGUGCAGAGCAUUUCAAAAUUAAAAAUUUAAGACAUUCUCCCUCUCUGCCUGCUUUCUUGAUGGCAUACUUGUCAAUCUCGAAGUGCUACACUACACAGCUCAGAAAAAACAUAAUCAAGGAGAGAAAAUAAAAAAGAGACAAUAUGGAUGCGCAGACUGAUGGAAGGUGAAAAUGGACGUGUGGCCAGCUG